GCCGCCGGACGGCGCCAGCUUCGGCGCUGAUCGAAGCUGCCGAGCCGGGCCGACGGUGGCGCCAUCUCAGCUCCGCCGGCCUCGGCCACUCCUGGCGGCGGGCUCGGCAUUUAUCGGUCAGGGGUCGGCGCCGCAGCACGCAACCAGCCAUGAAGAAGGCAGCGAAGAAGGAGGGCGGAGACGCCGAGCCGGCCGGCUCCCCGGCCAAGGAGGACAAGAAGCCUGCCAAGGAGGCCGCCCCCAAGAAGGAAGCCGCCGCGAAAGAAAAGGGCGGCAAAAAAGGUGGCAAGAAGUGACCUCUGCCCAAGGCUGCGCCCAUUCACCAUUUCAUUUGCCAUUCGUUUUGCCACACAUGGAUCGCGUCGUCAAGAGCAAAGAUAUUUCCACCGUUGCAAGCUGGCUGUGUUGAGUGUUCCCAACUAUUGAAGUGAUGUGCUAGGUCCAGGUUUGGCCGGAAGGUCUCAAGGCCAGUAGUUCUUAGCUCGCCCGCUGCUGUGUUAAGAUCGGGGCUCAUUCCAACUGUGUGCGGUGGGUCAAUAAAUCAUCAGUUUAUUUGUGUA
Amphibalanus amphitrite is the source of this 560-nucleotide long non-coding RNA. RefSeq lists it as uncharacterized. NCBI's taxonomy places the organism in Eukaryota, Metazoa, Arthropoda, Thecostraca, Balanomorpha, Balanidae. The transcript has 3 exons. The record is from RefSeq and is a predicted model, not a curated record.